CCUACGGGGGGCAGCAGUGGGGAAUAUUGCACAAUGGGCGAAAGCCUGAUGCAGCAACGCCGCGUGAAGGAAGAAGGGUUUCGGCUCGUAAACUUCUAUCAACAGGGACGAAAGAAAUGAUGGUACCUAAAGAAGAAGCCCGGGCUAACUACGUGCCAGCAGCCGCGGUCAUACGUAGGGGGCAAGCGUUAUCCGGAAUUACUGGGUGUAAAGGGUGAGUAGGCGGCAUGGUAAGCCAGAUGUGAAAGCUGUGGGGUUAACCCGAGGAUUGCAUUAGGAACUAUCGAGCUAGAGUACAGGAGAGGAAAGCGGAAUUCCUAGUGUAGCGGUGAAAUGCGUAGAUAUUAGGAAGAACACCAGUGGCGAAGGCGGCUUGCUGGACUGAAACUGACGCUGAGGCACGAAAGCGUGGGGAGCGAACAGGAUUAGAUACCCUGGUAGUC
RNAcentral lists this ribosomal RNA (443 nucleotides) under uncultured bacterium. Its description in RNAcentral is "partial 16S ribosomal RNA". It matches the Rfam family "Bacterial small subunit ribosomal RNA", at positions 338 to 795 of the family's 1533-position model. The record is from RNAcentral.